GAAUGUCAGGUACAACAGAGACAGCUGUUUGUCCCCCAAUAUCCUUCAGACAAAGCCAUAUAUGAUUGAAGGUUAUCAGUACUGUGCUUUUGGAGGAUUCAGAAGAAGAAGUUAUAUCUGAUUGGGAGAUUGAAAAGGAUUGGCCUGAAGGAGAGGUGGUUUUUGAACUGCAUCUUAAAGGAUGAGGAAACUGAGGCUGAGAGGGUAGAGAACUUUGCCUGAGGUCACUCAGCAGGGACCCACCCAUCACAGUAAAUGCCAGCACUGCUGAUGCCAAAACAAUGUUAUUUGUAGGCCCUCGGAAUUUGUGACCUGAAGGAAGAAGAGCAGGGCCGUGGGAAUGCCUGCACGUCCCCUCGCCACAAUGUCAUGUGCCACCUCUUCAAAGGAGGGAUGUACCAGCUAGUGGACGUGACCUUGACUGCAAAGGGCGGCGCGCAGCUGAUGUAAUGGUCGCUUAAGUGUUCACAAAUCUGCCUGGCACAGUGGCUCACAUCUGUAGUCCCAGCACUUUGGGAGGCCAAGGCAGGUGGAUCACUUGAGGCCAGGAAUUCAAGACCAGCAUGGCCAACAUGUGCUGGGAGAGAAAAGCAUACGACAUAAACAGGGAGGUCAAGCUCCACCACGCAGAUGAGGUGCAGGCCACCAGGCUUCCUCUGCCACAUCUCUUUCUGAAAAGGACUUCACAUUCACCCUUGCAAUCCAUGUGGGGACACUGUUGGAUAGGAGGCGUGGUCCCAGUGUGGUCUCCCUGUCUGGGCCUCUGCCUAUGCCAAAUGUUUGCCUUACGCUGCACACUCAAGAGGUUCCAUGUAUACAGAUGGGAAUUCCAGAGCUACAGAAAAGGCAGCAAGCACCAUGAUUCAAGCUAAUCGGUGUGGAUUCACACCUUCCUCUCUCUCUGUCAGUGGCAGAACUACCAGCUAGAGUAAGAAGUGGUUGAUCCAGGACCUAAACAUUCUGGAAACUCUUGCCCACUUCUGGGAGAAAUGACCCAAUCCGUAGUACUAAGCACACCUUAACUUUCGUAGGACGCAGGCAAGUUGUCAUACCGUGUGCCUAAAUAUAGAAAAAUGAUCGACUGGACUAAUAAAGUGUUAAAUAAAAUA
Molecule: long non-coding RNA, 1109 nt
Organism: Pan troglodytes (chimpanzee)
Lineage: Eukaryota; Metazoa; Chordata; Mammalia; Primates; Hominidae
Exons: 8
Source: RefSeq, a predicted model, not a curated record